This 468-nucleotide ribosomal RNA is filed under the name uncultured bacterium. RNAcentral's name for it is "partial 16S ribosomal RNA". It matches the Rfam family "Bacterial small subunit ribosomal RNA", at positions 28 to 507 of the family's 1533-position model. The record is from RNAcentral.
GACGAACGCUGGCGGCGUGCUUAACACAUGCAAGUCGAACGGAAAGGCCCUGCUUUUGUGGGGUGCUCGAGUGGCGAACGGGUGAGUAACACGUGAGUAACCUGCCCUUGACUUUGGGAUAACUUCAGGAAACUGGGGCUAAUACCGGAUAGGAGCUCCUGCUGCAUGGUGGGGGUUGGAAAGUUUCGGCGGUUGGGGAUGGACUCGCGGCUUAUCAGCUUGUUGGUGGGGUAGUGGCUUACCAAGGCUUUGACGGGUAGCCGGCCUGAGAGGGUGACCGGCCACAUUGGGACUGGGAUACGGCCGGGACUCCUACGGGAGGCAGCAGUAGGGAAUAUUGCACAAUGGGCGGAAGCCGGAUGCAGCAACGCCGCGUGCGGGAUGACGGCCUUCGGUUUGUAAACCGCUUUCGCCUGUGACGAAGCGUGAGUGACGGUAAUGGGUAAAGAAGCACCGGCUAACUACGUG